UCAAAAGAGCAGAAGGAACCCGCCUCGAACCCGGCAGGGAGCGUCAGUGGACGCAUACCCCAUCCCGAACAGACAAAAUAAAUUAAGGACGGGGUUUCACAAUGGGAGCCAAGAGCUGUAAGGGAGAGCCUUGUCUGCCCGACCUGCUGACAGGACCGGUAAAGCACCCGCCCUGGUUGUCCAACACCAGCCCGCUCAGCCGCUUCCCCCGCCGCAGCUCUACCCCUAAUAAGACCUGAUACGACUGCAGGACCAACAGACCCCCCAGAGGCAGCCCCAGCACAGUAGGAACACAUUCUACACACGCCUACAUUGACUCCCAUUUCACUGGAGUGAGGACAGACUUUAUCAGACCCAGCUGGCUGGACUGUGUGAUUGCAUAAAAUAACAUUACCCGCCCAUAACUGAUUGGACAGCCAUCCAUAGUCGCACGCAGGAAGCUAAAGGGUCACUGGAAGACUACAGGCAUAGAUUGGAUAACUUUUUCCGCAAACACAGUGGCAUCAGACCAGCAACAGACGGUCAUCGAACACUGUAAACACGCUGAGAGGCAGCAACUGUCUCAAGAAGAUAAGAUGAAACAGAAUGAAAAAGGGAGGGCGGGAAACUACAAGCUGCACAGCUGGCCUUCUAUCAAGGACACAGCAGCAGGCUCAGGGAGGACCUCAAAAUGAUGGACAGCGAGGAAGAGGUAGAGGGAGACAAGGAAGGGGAGACAGUGCUGAAGAACGGGCUGGAUAACAGACACCACAAGGUAAUAGCUUGACCUGCUAUAUCUGUGGACUGGAGGGACAUUUCACCAGAACAUGUCGAAGCAAA
Molecule: long non-coding RNA, 819 nt
Organism: Salvelinus fontinalis (brook trout)
Lineage: Eukaryota; Metazoa; Chordata; Actinopteri; Salmoniformes; Salmonidae
Exons: 3
Source: RefSeq, a predicted model, not a curated record